UGCCAGCAGCCGCGGUAAUACAGAGACUGCAAGCGUUAUUCGGAUUCACUGGGCGUAAAGGGUGCGCAGGCGGCCAAGUGUGUUAGGCGUGAAAGCCCGAGGCUUAACCUCGGAAUUGCACCUAAAACUACAUGGCUAGAGUACUGGAGAGGGUAACGGAAUUCACGGUGUAGCAGUGAAAUGCGUAGAUAUCGUGAGGAACACCAGAGGCGAAGGCGGUUACCUGGACAGUUACUGACGCUCAGGCACGAAAGCGUGGGGAGCAAAAGGGAUUAGAUACCCCUGUAGUCCACGCCCUAAACGGUGCACACUAGGUCUUGGCGGAUUCGACCCCGCCAGGGCCCAAGCUAACGCGUUAAGUGUGCCGCCUGAGGACUACGGCCGCAAGGCUAAAACUCAAAGGAAUUGACGGGGGCCCGCACAAGA
RNAcentral lists this ribosomal RNA (426 nucleotides) under uncultured bacterium. RNAcentral describes it as "bacterial SSU rRNA". It matches the Rfam family "Bacterial small subunit ribosomal RNA", at positions 506 to 930 of the family's 1533-position model. The record is from RNAcentral.